RNAcentral lists this ribosomal RNA (1374 nucleotides) under uncultured bacterium. RNAcentral's name for it is "bacterial SSU rRNA". It matches the Rfam family "Bacterial small subunit ribosomal RNA". The record is from RNAcentral.
AGAGUUUGAUCCUGGCUCAGGACGAACGCUGGCGGCGCGCCUAACACAUGCAAGUCGAACGGAGCUGAGAGGAGCUUGCUUUUCUCAGCUUAGUGGCGAACGGGUGAGUAACGCGUGAGUAACCUGCCCUGGAGUGGGGGACAACAGUUGGAAACGACUGCUAAUACCGCAUAAGCCCACGGCCCGGCAUCGGGCUGCGGGAAAAGGAUUUAUUCGCUUCAGGAUGGACUCGCGUCCAAUUAGCUAGUUGGUGAGGUAACGGCCCACCAAGGCGACGAUUGGUAGCCGGACUGAGAGGUUGAACGGCCACAUUGGGACUGAGACACGGCCCAGACUCCUACGGGAGGCAGCAGUGGGGGAUAUUGCACAAUGGGGGAAACCCUGAUGCAGCGACGCCGCGUGGAGGAAGAAGGUUUUCGGAUUGUAAACUCCUGUCGUUAGGGACGAUAAUGACGGUACCUAACAAGAAAGCACCGGCUAACUACGUGCCAGCAGCCGCGGUAAAACGUAGGGUGCAAGCGUUGUCCGGAAUUACUGGGUGUAAAGGGAGCGCAGGCGGACCGGCAAAGUUGGAAAGUGAAAACUAUGGGCUCAACCCAUAAAUUGCUUUCAAAACUGCUGGCCCUUGAGUAGUGCAGAGGUAGGUGGAAUUCCCGGUGUAGCGGUGGAAUGCGUAGAUAUCGGGAGGAACCCAGUGGCGAAGGCGACCUACUGGGCACCAACUGACGCUGAGGCUCGAAAGCAUGGGUAGCAAACAGGAUUAGAUACCCUGGUAGUCCAUGCCGUAAACGAUGAUUACUAGGUGUUGGAGGAUUGACCCCUUCAGUGCCGCAGUUAACACAAUAAGUAAUCCACCUGGGGAGUACGACCGCAAGGUUGAAACUCAAAGGAAUUGACGGGGGCCCGCACAAGCAGUGGAGUAUGUGGUUUAAUUCGAAGCAACGCGAAGAACCUUACCAGGUCUUGACAUCCGAUGCAUAGUGCAGAGAUGCAUGAAGUCCUUCGGGACAUCGAGACAGGUGGUGCAUGGUUGUCGUCAGCUCGUGUCGUGAGAUGUUGGGUUAAGUCCCGCAACGAGCGCAACCCUUAUUGCCAGUUACUACGCAAGAGGACUCUGGCGAGACUGCCGUUGACAAAACGGAGGAAGGUGGGGAUGACGUCAAAUCAUCAUGCCCUUUAUGACCUGGGCUACACACGUACUACAAUGGCGUUUAACAAAGAGAAGCAAGACCGCGAGGUGGAGCAAAACUCAAAAACAACGUCUCAGUUCAGAUUGCAGGCUGCAACUCGCCUGCAUGAAGUCGGAAUUGCUAGUAAUCGCGGAUCAGCAUGCCGCGGUGAAUACGUUCCCGGGCCUUGCACACACCGCCCGUC